Molecule: ribosomal RNA, 465 nt
Filed under: Vreelandella stevensii
Lineage: Bacteria; Pseudomonadati; Pseudomonadota; Gammaproteobacteria; Oceanospirillales; Halomonadaceae
Description: partial 16S ribosomal RNA
Rfam family: Bacterial small subunit ribosomal RNA
Source: RNAcentral
CCUACGGGUGGCAGCAGUGGGGAAUAUUGGACAAUGGGCGAAAGCCUGAUCCAGCCAUGCCGCGUGUGUGAAGAAGGCCUUCGGGUUGUAAAGCACUUUCAGUGGGGAAGAAAGCCUUGGGGCUAAUACCCUCGAGGAAGGACAUCACCCACAGAAGAAGCACCGGCUAACUCCGUGCCAGCAACCGCGGUAAUACGGAGGGUGCGAGCGUUAAUCGGAAUUACUGGGCGUAAAGCGCGCGUAGGCGGUCUGAUAAGCCGGUUGUGAAAGCCCCGGGCUCAACCUGGGAACGGCAUCCGGAACUGUCAGGCUAGAGUGCAGGAGAGGAAGGUAGAAUUCCCGGUGUAGCGGUGAAAUGCGUAGAGAUCGGGAGGAAUACCAGUGGCGAAGGCGGCCUUCUGGACUGACACUGACGCUGAGGUGCGAAAGCGUGGGUAGCAAACAGGAUUAGAUACCCGGGUAGUC